CGAAAUUGCAUACUUAAGAGAAACUAACAGUACGAACAGACUUCAAAAAAAGGUUAACACAUUUCGUUAUUGUUUUCAUUACUUUCAUACAAAAUGCUAUGGAAUCGCAUUAAGAUUCAUACAGAAUUAUUUUAUUAGGUGGAUUAAUUUUACAAAUUAAUUGAAACAUCAUGGACGAAUGAUUUUCAGGGCCGGUCCUGAGGCUAGGCAGACUAGGCCGCCGCCUAAGGUCCCUAUAAGACGAUUAUGCGUCUAAGAAUGCAAGAAGAGUACUUUUUUUUAUGUUAUAUGUAUAUAUAUGAAGGGGCCCUUUUUCGGACCCCCGAAACCUCAGGGGCGGCCCUAAUGAUUUUUUGUAAUACAAGCAGGUGGAAUAAAAUAAUAAAAAACAAAGCUAUCGAAGCCUCAAGAAGGAGUUUCAAACAUACCCUAUUUUGAUUGACUUUCU
Long non-coding RNA from Osmia bicornis bicornis, 448 nucleotides. RefSeq lists it as uncharacterized. The record is from RefSeq and is a predicted model, not a curated record. The transcript has 3 exons. NCBI's taxonomy places the organism in Eukaryota, Metazoa, Arthropoda, Insecta, Hymenoptera, Megachilidae.